RNAcentral lists this ribosomal RNA (467 nucleotides) under uncultured bacterium. RNAcentral describes it as "partial 16S ribosomal RNA". It matches the Rfam family "Bacterial small subunit ribosomal RNA", at positions 28 to 507 of the family's 1533-position model. The record is from RNAcentral.
GACGAACGCUGGCGGCGUGCUUAACACAUGCAAGUCGAACGGAAAGGCCCUGCUUUUGUGGGGUGCUCGAGUGGCGAACGGGUGAGUAACACGUGAGUAACCUGCCCUUGACUUUGGGAUAACUUCAGGAAACUGGGGCUAAUACCGGAUAGGAGCUCCUGCUGCAUGGUGGGGGUUGGAAAGUUUCGGCGGUUGGGGAUGGACUCGCGGCUUAUCAGCUUGUUGGUGGGUAGUGGCUUACCAAGGCUUUGACGGGUAGCCGGCCUGAGAGGGUGACCGGGCACAUGGGGACUAAGAGACGGCGCAGACGCCUACGGGAGGCAGUAGUCGGGAGUAUGGCACAGUGGGCGGGAGUCUGAGGCAGAGGCGCCGCGUGCGGGAUGCCGGCCUUUGGGUUGUAAACCGCUGUCGCCUGUGACGAAGCGGUAGUGACGGUACUGGGUAAAGAAGCACCGGCUAACUACGUG